GAUGGGUGCAGCAUAUCUUGCUCUGACUGCCAUGGCUCAUCAUUCAUUCACUCACUCAUUCAUUCUUUCCCAGGACCCCUACCACCACCACUAGCUUUAUCUGAAUGCCCUAGGGCUAUUUAAUUUUCCUAGGGGCACUUACGACUCGAUGAGACCAUCUUUUGUAUGUAUUUGCUUCUAUAGAGUGGGUCUCCCCAGCUUGAGAAUAAGCUUUAUGAGAGCAGGCACCUUGGCAGUCUUCAUCAUGCUGUGGGGUGAGCUGUAUUGGUACUCAGGGAUUACUACUCAAGGACUGACUGGCUGAAUUAUGUAAAUGGUUGUUGAGUGGCUACCAUGGUGCAGACACUGGACUAGGUGAGGGGACAUGCAAUCAAAGCAGCCUUCUUAAGAGAGCAUGGCCAGAGAGAGAGCAGGGAUGUGCACCCCUACAGGAUGACCUGACUGCGGGCACCAUAGGGUCUGCUGCUGGGGAGGCACAGAGGAGAUGCGUGUUUGAGCCCCAAGCCAGGAUUCCUCCCCGGCACCUGCAGCCCCAUCUCCAAGCUCACUUCCCUGGGAAUCUCACCCACUAGCAUAAGAGCUCCUCCAGAGUCACACAUGUCUCUCUAAGGGCAGAGCCAUAAUGUUACAUUUGCCUAUAACAUUACUUGACUGCCUCUCUAUACUGUUUCCAAAAGUUCUGUGGACAGCCCUGCUUGGGACCAUAACUCCAUGCAUCCAUAUGGCCUCCAUGCCUACCAUGGCGUCCAGUUCUGGGGCACCCAGUCACUCUCUGUUGAACAAAGGAAUGGACAGGGAAGAGAACUAUGGCCUCAAGAAGAUCCAGGCCAUCAGUUCUGACCAUCAUCCAGACCAUCAGUUCCUCCCAGUAGAACUCCCUUCCAACCUGGCUCUCCAGAACACCCACCCCAGCUUCCCAGAAGUCUUGCGACACUUCACAUCCCCACACUCUGGACGUUUGUUGGGCGCAGCUGAGCACAGUGGACAAGCUAGAUGGAGGGAAAGUAAGGUGUCUUCUGAAAUCAGACAGCCAAGGUUGGUUGGUUGGUCAGUUUGUUUUAGAGAAGGCGAAAACUUUAUUGGGUGUAUAUAAAGGGUGAUUUCAGUUGUCCUCUGAAGGGCACCCUGACUUUCAGCGUGAGACCAGGCUGCAUCACUUACAAACUGUGUGACCUUGGGCAGAAUCUCAGUUUCUUUUUAUCCUGGUUGUAAAGAAUUUAGUUGUUAUUAAUAUUGGCUUCAAGGUCACAGAACCUCUCUUCAUAGUCUAUUUCUUCCUUCACUCCCCAGUGAGGAUUCUUCACCCCACCGCCCAAGUCUGGCCCUGACAUGCCUCUACUAGAGUUUGUCGGUGGGUCUCUCAACUCUGCCUCCCGUGGUCCCCAUUCCCUACUGGGUGGAAUUCCUGCCUGUGCCCACCCUGCCCUCUUCUGUUAUCGACAACAGCAGUUUUAGUCAUCUGACUUUGGUUGAUUGGUGUUCAGUUAGCACAGGAUUGAGAUCAGAGGGUAUACAUUUUAGUUAGAGAGACUAAUCACAAACUCGGUGAGUGAGCGCAGUGUUAGGGGCACUUGGUUUCCUCCCAGCUGUGUGGCCUUGGGCAAGCAACUUGACCUCUGUGGGAACCCACUGAAUGCACUGGUCCUCACCGUGCAAUCAUGAUAGGUGGUGAGUGCCCCAAAUAGGAUGUCUGGGCCAGGUCAGUUCUCGGUUAUUCUUGCUCUUUUCUCUGCACAGAAGGGAGUAAAAUCCUUUCCUCAAGCAUCAUUCAGACUGUGGCCUCAGACACCUGCCUGCUUCCCACUUAUCCCACACAGGAGGCCAAAUAUAACUCCUGACACAUCCUUUUGCCUUAAAGCAAGAGGCUUGUCUUGGCUCCACUGCUCUUAUCUCUACAGGCACCUGGUUCAGUCUCUGCCAGCCAGCUAAGUCUGUUUGGCUAUCUCUCACCCACCUUCCUGUCAUAACACGUGCUUGAAAUGCCCUUCCUGUCCUCUUUCCAAAACCAGGCCCCACCUUCUUGGAAGCAGAUUUAAGAAUCACUUCCUCCCUUAAGUCUGCUUGACUCAAACCUCCCAGUUUCAGGAUUGCUAAUCACGAAAAAAUAUUUCAUGCCUACUGCAGCCUUCCUCCACCCCGUCUCCUCCACCCUUUGCAACUAUGACGUAAUAAGAUUGCACCUGUCACAUCUGUACCUGUGGGCACCUGUCUUUCCAGAUAUCUGGUUGUACAUGUGAGUGGUUACAGAGUAGGAGGCAAGAAUAGACAGUGACCAAAAACUCAACCAACAAAACAAAAAAGUAGCUGGUGAGGUGGAGAGAGGACUGGGCCAGAUCAGACCUAUGUCCAUUUGACCACUUACUACAUGGGUGACACUUAGCAAGUUACUUAGCCUUUCUCUUUGAGCCUCUAUCUCCUGGCAUAUUUGUUAAGAAAAUCAGAAAAUUACUAGGACUUCCCUGGUGGUCCAGUGGUUAAGAAUCUGCCUGCCAAUGCAGGGGACAUGGGUUUGAUCCCCGGUCAGGGAACUCCAGCAUUCUUGCCUGGAGAAUCCCAGGGACCAGGGAGCCUGGUGGGCUGCCGUCUAUGGGGUCGCACAGAGUCGGACACAACUGAAGUGACUUAGCAGCAGCAGCAGCAGCGGCAGGAAACUAAGAUAGCACAUGUUGUGGGGCAACUAAGCCCGCAUGCCACUAGUAGAGAGAAGUCCCCACACGCUGCGAUGAACACCCAGCCCAGCCAAAAAGAAAAAAGUACUACUAUUAUUAUUUACCUUAUCCAGUACUGUCCUUGCUCAGUACUGUUCAGACUCUGUCCUAAACACUUUACAUAGACUUUUACAUUUAAUUUUCACUCAACACUAGCAGGUAGGUAACAUUAUUUUCCCUAUGCUUCAGUUGAAAAUACUGAGACACAGUAGAAACUCAACACAGAUAUUAAGUACCUUGCCCAGGUCACAUAGCUAAAAAAUGGCAAAGCCAGAAUUUGCACCUAGGCAGUUGGAUCCCAGAGUCCAUGUUCCUAAGCACUCUCCUUACUGCCUCCCACAUGUAAUCCUGUGUGUGUGCAAAGCCCUUGACACAGUGCUUGUCACUUCAGUCCCAGUGAGGAAGGUGACUGCAAGUGUAGGAGGCCAGGGCAAGUGUCUCUUUCCCUGAAGCAUGUCAGGACAGAAUAGAGAGCGGACACUUUACACGCAUUUCCAGGGCCUAAGAAAGGUGGGGAAGAAAUAUAAAGAAUUUAAAGCCAUAUUUUCCUACCCAGAUGUGUCUUAUAAACACACAUAUGCCACAUGGACACACACUUCUCACAAAUACAUCACACUCACACAUACACAAUCAGUGGCCACUCUGAACCCAUGAAACUUCCAUCAGGAAACCUUCCUGAGCUGGUCCAGGCCUCACAAUCUCUCAGAUCCCUAAAUGUGUACAGCACUGACCAUUAGGCCCAGCCAAGCCAGCCCUCACUAUGUAGUGUUCUAUUCAUUCAAAUAACUAUGCAAUAACUACUGAAAAUCGGGACCAAGUAUUGGAGAAGGAGGACCAAAAAAAAUGUUGUUUCUGUCCUCCAGGAACUUUGAAUCUCCUAGGAGAAUCUAGCAUACACAUCAAGACGUCACAGUAGGACAAAGGAAUAAGUGUUGUCAGUGACAGACAGGUAUUUUGGAAAGCUUCCUAGAGGUGACACUUGAGUUAAAUUUUAAAGGUGAACAGGAGUUAUUCUGGCAAAGGAAGAGGUGUGGAGGAAGGAGAGUAAGGAAGAGGGAACAGGUUAACAAGCUUGGGAAACCCCAAGUCGUUCUAUCAGCUGAAAUGAGUUUCUCAUAGAGGCAGAACAUGAGGCCAUAGGGAUAAGCAGGGCCCAAAUGCCAAAAAGCCUGAUGUGCUGACCUGAGAGAUUCAGAGUCUUUCCCAAAAAGCGUCAUGGAAGGGUUUUUGGCAGAGAAACAUCACAAUCGAAUCUGCAUUUCAGAAAGGUUGACUCAGCAACACAGAGAUAAAGGGGUGACAGGGUGAAAAUGAGGGGACAUUGAAAAGACUUUCAACUAUCUCUGGAAUAAAUGAACUGAAAUUCUUAUCACAGUGGGAAUGGAGAGGGUAUUUAUGAGAUACUAUGGAAAAGUGCGGAGGUCAUCCACUGAUAUAGGUAACAUGAAGGUCAAAGGUUAGACUGGAAGGAGAGUAAGGAAGAGGAACAGGUUAACAAGCUUGGGAAACCCCAAGUCGUUCUAUCAGCUGAAAUGAAGAGUUUCUCAUAGAGGCAGAACAUGAGGCCAUAGGGAUAAGCAGGGCCCAAAUGCCAAAAAGCCUGAUGUGCUGACCUGAGAGAUUCAGAGUCUUUCCCAAAAAGGGUCAUGGAAGGGUUUUUGGCAGAGAAACAUCACAAUCGAAUCUGCAUUUCAGAAAGGUUGACUCAGCAACACAGAGAUAAAGGGGUGACAGGGUGAAAAUGAGGGGACAUUGAAAAGACUUUCAACUAUCUCUGGAAUAAAUGAACUGAAAUUCUUAUCACAGUGGGAAUGGAGAGGGUAUUUAUGAGAUACUAUGGAAAAGUGCGGAGGUCAUCCACUGAUAUAGGUAACAUGAAGGUCAAAGGUUAGACUGGAAGGAGAGGAGCCAAUGAUACUUUUUGACUUCUGGAGUUCCAGGUGUCUCUUGGACACCCAGGUGAUACCUAAUAGGCUUAUGAAUAUGUGUGUGUCUGUAUUUUUCCCCAUUAUUACAGUUUGCAAGACAUAUGGACUGGAGAUACAAGUUUGAGUGCCAGGGCAGUACAGGUAGCAAGAAUGUCGAUGUAGUCACUCAGAGAAAGUGUGGGCCAGGAGGUCUGUGGACUCAGGACUGAGCUCUGAGGAGCUCCAACUUCAAGCAGUUGAAGGCUUGGAUUUGUGAACAUUCUUCCAGGAGCAGGGUGUGAAGAAAGGAGUGAGAAAAGGAGAUCAACAACAUUUAGGGGAAAACAAGGUGAACAGACGAGAAGAGAGGGACGAAACUGCAGGAGAGACCAGAACACGGUGUCAGGUCGAGGCAAGUCAGUAGCAUCAAACACUGCAGACGUCAACGAAGAUAAGGACAGGAAACUUCAUGUUAGGUUUGGCAACUAAGAGGUGGCCAGUGCGGCCAGAGUGAGGUCACUCGAGCGAUGAAAGGGUGGGUUUCCGGCUGUUGAAAUCUUUUCAACUGAAACGCAGUUUGAGCAUCUGGCUGGGAGCUGCACCCCGCGCUGCUUUCCCGAGUUCAUCAGAGUCGAGCGUUCACACUGACACACCAGAAGACUAACAGGAACUUGGCGUUUUCGAACAGAGCGCGCAGGAAUCCUGCGCAGGCGCUUCCGAAGUCGGUCGGCUCUCCCGCGAGCCCCUCCCCAGGCCUGCAGAGGGAGCUGCGCCUCGGAGAAUCCAGGGCGUGACGCCGCUCUAGCCAGCGCUCGGGCUCGGUGGCGGGCGCCGCAGCUCCGCGUCCGGCUCGCCUCCUCCCAGCACAGGUGGGUCCGCCCGCGGUGGGCAGCAGUGCUUGGGAGCCGUGGGGCGGGCGGGUAGCGGCAACCUCUGGGCACGGAGUGGUCCCCAUCACCUACGUGCCCCAACUCGGGCUCGGCUCCGGCGGAUCGGGCUGUGGCCAGGGCCGCACGUGUGCAAGUCCGGUUCGGGUGGGUUCCUCCUGGACUUGCAGUGUCUGUCCCAGGACCCCUUAACACCCCAGGGGUCUCCGCCCGGGCUUGCUCACGGCUUCCUGGGGACAUCGAGGGGCGGAGCUCCAAGGGGCGGGACUCCCAUG
Long non-coding RNA from Bos grunniens (domestic yak), 5777 nucleotides. The record is from Ensembl. Lineage: Eukaryota; Metazoa; Chordata; Mammalia; Artiodactyla; Bovidae.